GACGAACGCGGGCGGCGUGCUUAAUACAUGCAAGUAGAACGCUGAAGGAGGAGCUUGCUCUUCUGGAUGAGUUGCGAACGGGUGAGUAACGCGUAGGUAACCUGCCUGGUAGCGGGGGAUAACUAUUGGAAACGAUAGCUAAUACCGCAUAAGAGUAGAUGUUGCAUGACAUUUGCUUAAAAGGUGCAAUUGCAUCACUACCAGAUGGACCUGCGUUGUAUUAGCUAGUUGGUGAGGUAACGGCUCACCAAGGCGACGAUACAUAGCCGACCUGAGAGGGUGAUCGGCCACACUGGGACUGAGACACGGCCCAGACUCCUACGGGAGGCAGCAGUAGGGAAUCUUCGGCAAUGGACGGAAGUCUGACCGAGCAACGCCGCGUGAGUGAAGAAGGUUUUCGGAUCGUAAAGCUCUGUUGUAAGAGAAGAACGAGUGUGAGAGUGGAAAGUUCACACUGGACG
RNAcentral lists this ribosomal RNA (461 nucleotides) under Streptococcus sp. oral taxon 064. RNAcentral describes it as "bacterial SSU rRNA". It matches the Rfam family "Bacterial small subunit ribosomal RNA", at positions 28 to 474 of the family's 1533-position model. The record is from RNAcentral. Lineage: Bacteria; Bacillati; Bacillota; Bacilli; Lactobacillales; Streptococcaceae.